CCAUUUCUCCUCCCGCUUCACUGAAGGGGCACUGCACAGUUUUCCCUCUCUGUGCAGCGCCCCUUCAGCGAAGCAGGAGGAGAAACGG
Non-coding RNA from Podarcis lilfordi (Lilford's wall lizard), 88 nucleotides. The record is from the annotation of a GenBank genome assembly. NCBI's taxonomy places the organism in Eukaryota, Metazoa, Chordata, Lepidosauria, Squamata, Lacertidae.